CCGGCACGGGUGAGUAACGCGUAUCCAACCUGCCGUCUACUCUUGGACAGCCUUCUGAAAGGAAAGAUUAAUACAAGAUGGCAUCAUGAGUCCGCAUGUUCACAUGAUUAAAGGUAUUCCGGUAGACGAUGGGGAUGCGUUCCAUUAGAUAGUAGGCGGGGUAACGGCCCACCUAGUCUUCGAUGGAUAGGGGUUCUGAGAGGAAGGUCCCCCACAUUGGAACUGAGACACGGUCCAA
RNAcentral lists this ribosomal RNA (238 nucleotides) under uncultured bacterium. RNAcentral's name for it is "partial 16S ribosomal RNA". It matches the Rfam family "Bacterial small subunit ribosomal RNA", at positions 100 to 334 of the family's 1533-position model. The record is from RNAcentral.